UCAAUAAGCGGAGGAAAAGAAACUAACAAGGAUUCCCCUAGUAGCGGCGAGCGAAGCGGGAAGAGCUCAAAUUUGUAAUCUGGCGCUUUCAGCGUCCGAGUUGUAAUCUCUAGAAAUGUUUUCCGCGUUGCACCGCACACAAGUCUGUUGGAAUACAGCGGCACAGUGGUGAGACCCCCGUUCAUGGUGCGGAUGCGCAAUGCUUUGUGAUACAUUUUCGAAGAGUCGAGUUGUUUGGGAAUGCAGCUCAAAUUGGGUGGUAAAUUCCAUCUAAAGCUAAAUAUUGGCGAGAGACCGAUAGCGAACAAGUACCGUGAGGGAAAGAUGAAAAGCACUUUGGAAAGAGAGUUAACAGUACGUGAAAUUGUUGGAAGGGAAACGCUUGAAGUCAGACUUGCUGUUCGGAGUUCAGCCGCAAGGUGUACUCUCCGAGUUGCAGGCCAGCAUCAGUUUUUCGGGGUGGAAAAUCACGGUUUGAAGGUAGCAGUUUCGGCUGUGUUAUAGCUUUCCGUUGGAUACAUCCUGGGGGACUGAGGAACGCAGUGUGCUUUUAGCAGGGGUUUCGACCUCUUCACACUUAGGAUGCUGGUGGAAUGGCUUUAAMCGACCCGUCUUGAAACAC
This 622-nucleotide ribosomal RNA is filed under the name Rhodotorula sp. TUB F44. Its description in RNAcentral is "LSU rRNA". It matches the Rfam family "Eukaryotic large subunit ribosomal RNA", at positions 43 to 662 of the family's 3401-position model. Lineage: Eukaryota; Fungi; Basidiomycota; Microbotryomycetes; Sporidiobolales; Sporidiobolaceae. The record is from RNAcentral.